AUUAUUUUACUUCAAAACCAAAACAUAGAACUUUUAAAGUUUAUAGUCAAAACCUGAGAACUAUCCACAAACUCAUAUUUGUAAUAUUAAAUGUGAUCUGGUAGACAUGGGCCAUUUGGCACACAAUAUCACUAAUGCUCUAAUAAAAAAAAAGGAAUGGUUAGAAAAAAAAACAAAAAACGUUGAAUUGACGCAUAUAAAUCUACUAUUGUUUUUUGUGGAAUUAAAACCGCAGACUAACAAUAAAAAUAUUUAUCAUGUAGAACAAUUAUGCCGACACAAAGAUUGAGUUGAAAAUCUAAAAAAGAAGAAAAAACAAGUCCCGCAGUACAAAAGUCCUUUAAUCAUACACAAAAUUACUGCGCUGUACUUAAGUGUAGCAAAAAACAUAAGUAUAUAGAUUGUCCUAAGUCUAAGAAAAAUAAAGUAAAGUAUGCUACUUGUGACGAAAGUAAUAAUUAGAAAGUCACAACUAACAGAAAAGUCUAUAAUACCAACCAGCCUAUAAUGUGGCAGAGUUAAAAGCUAAUCCAUUAAAAAUGACUGCUGUUCAACGUGUGCAGUGAAAUAAACUAAUUAAGUUUAGCUUGUGUAAAAUGUUGAUUAAGACCAAAUGUCGUUUCAAUUAAACAUUUUGAAAAGAAAAAAAGAAUUGUUAAAAUGUAUAUCUUGCCUAAGCAAUAUUAAUUGUUUAUAACGAAGUAAUAAUGGUUUUCAUAUUAACAUAUUAUGUCACUAUACUGUUGUAAUAGGCCCUUUACAUAAAAACACAAUUUCUUUCUCUUCCUUUUCAUCUCUCAGCACAAACAAAGAUUCUAUCCUAUUACACAAUACUUUUCACAACAUAUACUAUACACAAUCAAUAUUUUCUGUGCUUAAUCACAGCCAAACACAUAGUUGACACAAUCACGUAUUGAUAGGCAUCCGCUCUUCUUUUUCACCGCACGUGCACUGUUCGACAAUCAAAUGUUUCUAUUUAUUAUUUUCAGUUAAAGGACGAUUUUUCAUUGUAUAAACAAAAUUAUGAAAUUCCUAAAAAAAUGUGAAGCAAAUGAAAGCCGGACGAGGAAUAUGUGCGUCUCUGGAAGGGGUUACAAGAAGGACUCCAGGAGAGACCCAGAGAUGGACCUGUUUCAAUCGAACUCUAAGACGUCGCAUUCAUCUUCUGGUUCUCGCGAGCUACCUUAAUUUAACACCGCAGAAUAAUUAUAAAUAUAUUUAUCAAUAUAUAAGCUUGUGUUUAUUAACUAAGAAUAAUAUCUCUCCGUAACAUUCACGUGAUGUAAUUACCUUCUAAUUAUCACAAUUAUUUUGUAUAAUCAUAUGUGAAGUUAUAUUAAUUAUAUUAUUUUAUCAUCAACUAUUUGGAUUUUCGUUCUUUUUAUCAAUAUUUUACAUGCCUAAAGGAUAACUAAAAGCUCAGUUUACAUUUACUUGACAUAAGAAACAAAACUGCGCUUCAAAUAAGAGGUAGAAUAGACGAGGAAAUGUGCGCGCGUGGACAGCCGACGGCAAUGUUGGUGGCAGAAUAUUUUAUUUAUAAUAUCAGAGCAAAGAAUACGUGGGCUGAGGAUUAAAUAUUAAAUACAGAUUAUUCAGUUGGGAAUUGGAAAGUCCAUAAAAUAUUGAAAAUUAAAUUACCAACGGCUGCAUUGGCUUCGUAGUUAUGUGGACGUUUCGAAGGCAGAGGUUGAAUAGUCAAUGGUAACUGUAAAAUGAGAGUGGUAAGAAGAAGAGUCUAUGCUAACAUUAGAAUGUAAAAGUUAUGCAUAAAGAACCUCUGCGCAUUUUAGUGAAAAAAAUAGUUCAUUAAAGUGUUAGUAAGUACAUUUGAGUCAUCCUUAUAAAGUUUGUUUUUAAAUUCUUUAUUGGAUAAAAUUUAUUCAAUAAGAAACGUAUUAUUAAUUGAUUCUAAAUUAUUUAAAUAUUAGUAUACAUUUGUUUAAUAUUCUUUAUUUCUCUGUUUAUGCAUUAAAUAUAAUAUUUAUACACAAAAAUUAUAUGUGCAUACAUUUGUUUUAAAAACAGGAUAACAGAAAAGCUGGUGCACAUAGUUCAUUCGAGCUUUGUUGCGUUGGUACAGUUCUGUUCAAUCGAGUUAUACAAUUUUCUUUAUGAAUAUAUUACAAAGGGGAAAACGGAUUUUGUAAUCGAAAAACUAAUCAAUAUAUACAAUGUCUACACAUUUUCUGCAAAGUAAAUUUUAAACAUUUUGAUUUUAAAUAGACCGACAUUCGAAUUGAAUGACCGGACAUGGUAUACGAUUUGCAAUUAUAAAUUUGUUAGUGUUAUAUUGAGUAAAAAGAAGUAAUCUAUUUAUCAAGUUAGGUAAUCAUGUGUAUAUAUUACUAAUGUUUAAGAUGUAUAUGAUCACAAAAAUGUGAUACUAAAUGAUGUGAGGGCCUACAAAGAGCCAGAUUAGACUCUUUGUCUAGAGUUUUUUCAAUUAUAAAUUCGACUGUUGGUUUUUCGAAUAUAUAUAAUCAUAAGUUUGAGUUAUUUAACUUUAACCGAACUUUACUUGAAAUGUGUUUUUUGAUUAUACAGGGCUAUAUAUUAAGAACAAGACGCCCUUUCUCGGAAACAUGAAAAUUUCAAGUAUAUGAAUAGGAAAAUAUUGUUUUAUUCAGAAAACUCAUCAAUAAUAUGUAGUUAAUUUUUUUUCAUCUCUCCAGGGAUGAAAAACUUAAGCUUAUUUUAGUUUGGUGAUAAAAAAGAAACAUUUCGCAAAAGGUAAUUACUUCAAAAAAAACUAUUUCAAAAGAAUUUUACUCAACCAAACGAAUUUCAACUUAUCGAUCACUUUAGUAAAACUUCUUUAUUCUAAGUUAUAAAUUAAUGCUAAAUAAUUGUUUUUAUGAGGAAUGUAACCUUA
Molecule: long non-coding RNA, 2875 nt
Organism: Daktulosphaira vitifoliae (grape phylloxera)
Lineage: Eukaryota; Metazoa; Arthropoda; Insecta; Hemiptera; Phylloxeridae
Exons: 3
Source: RefSeq, a predicted model, not a curated record